Molecule: ribosomal RNA, 301 nt
Filed under: uncultured bacterium
Lineage: Bacteria
Description: partial 16S ribosomal RNA
Rfam family: Bacterial small subunit ribosomal RNA
Source: RNAcentral
CAGCAGCCGCGGUAAUACGGAGGGUGCAAGCGUUAAUCGGAAUUACUGGGCGUAAAGCGCACGCAGGCGGUCUGACAAGUCAGAUGUGAAAUCCCCGGGCUUAACCUGGGAACUGCAUUUGAAACUGUCAGGCUGGAGUCUUGUAGAGGGGGGUGGAAUUCCAGGUGUAGCGGUGAAAUGCGUAGAGAUCUGGAGGAAUACCGGUGGCGAAGGCGGCCCCCUGGACAAAGACUGACGCUCAGGUGCGAAAGCGUGGGGAGCAAACAGGAUUAGAGACCCCUGUAGUCCCUGUCUCUUAUAC